This 468-nucleotide ribosomal RNA is filed under the name uncultured bacterium. RNAcentral's name for it is "partial 16S ribosomal RNA". It matches the Rfam family "Bacterial small subunit ribosomal RNA", at positions 28 to 507 of the family's 1533-position model. The record is from RNAcentral.
GACGAACGCUGGCGGCGUGCUUAACACAUGCAAGUCGAACGGUAAGGCCCUGCUUUUGUGGCGUGUUCGAGUGCCGCGCAGGUGUGUAUCACGUGAGUAACCUCCCCUUGACUUUGGGAUAACUUCUGGAGACUGGGGCUCAUACCGGAUAUAAGCUCCUGCAGCACGGUGUGUGUGGGAAAGUUUCGGCGGUUGGGCAUGGACGCGCGGCCUAUCAUCUUGUUGGUGGGGUAGUGGCUUACCGAGGCUUUGACGGGUAGCCGGCCUGAGAGGGUGACCGGCCACAAUGGGACUGGGAUAGGGCCCAGACGCCUUCGUGAGGCAGCAGUGGAGGAUAGUGCGCGAUGGGCGGAAGCCUGAUGCAGGGUCGCCGGGUGCGGGAUGACGGCCUUUAGGUUGGAAACCGCGUUCGCGUGUGAAGAAGAGUGAGUGACGGUAAUGGGUCAAGAAGCAACGGCUAACUACGUG